Molecule: ribosomal RNA, 254 nt
Filed under: uncultured bacterium
Lineage: Bacteria
Description: partial 16S ribosomal RNA
Rfam family: Bacterial small subunit ribosomal RNA
Source: RNAcentral
UACGUAGGGGGCGAGCGUUGUCCGGAAUCAUUGGGCGUAAAGAGCUCGUAGGCGGCUUGGCAAGUCGGAUGUGAAACCUCCAGGCUCAACCUGGAGCCGCCAUUCGAUACUGCCAUGGCUAGAGUCCGGUAGGGGACCACGGAAUUCCUGGUGUAGCGGUGAAAUGCGCAGAUAUCAGGAGGAACACCGGUGGCGAAGGCGGUGGUCUGGGCCGGUACUGACGCUGAGGAGCGAAAGCGUGGGGAGCGAACAGG